UGGGGAAUUUUGGACAAUGGGCGAAAGCCUGAUCCAGCAAUGCCGCGUGUGUGAAGAAGGCCUUCGGGUUGUAAAGCACUUUUGUCCGGAAAGAAAUCCUUGGCUCUAAUACAGUCGGGGGAUGACGGUACCGGAAGAAUAAGCACCGGCUAACUACGUGCCAGCAGCCGCGGUAAUACGUAGGGUGCAAGCGUUAAUCGGAAUUACUGGGCGUAAAGCGUGCGCAGGCGGUUUGCUAAGACCGAUGUGAAAUCCCCGGGCUCAACCUGGGAACUGCAUUGGUGACUGGCAGGCUAGAGUAUGGCAGAGGGGGGUAGAAUUCCACGUGUAGCAGUGAAAUGCGUAGAGAUGUGGAGGAAUACCGAUGGCGAAGGCAGCCCCCUGGGCCAAAUACUGACGCUCAUGCACGAAAAGCGUGGGGAGCAAAACAGGAUUAGAUACCCUGGUAGUCCACGCCCUAAAACGAUGUCAACUAGUUGUUGGGGAUUCAUUUCCUUAGUAACGUAGCUAACGCGUGAAGUUGACCGCCUGGGGAGUACGGUCGCAAGAUUAAAACUCAAAGGAAUUGACGGGGUCAUAGCUGUUUCCU
This 589-nucleotide ribosomal RNA is filed under the name uncultured bacterium. Its description in RNAcentral is "partial 16S ribosomal RNA". It matches the Rfam family "Bacterial small subunit ribosomal RNA", at positions 355 to 1375 of the family's 1533-position model. The record is from RNAcentral.